UACGAAGGGGGCUAGCGUUGUUCGGAUUCACUGGGCGUAAAGGGUGCGUAGGUGGUGGGGUAAGUCUGAUGUGAAAUCUCCGAGCUUAACUCGGAAAUGGCAUUGGAAACUACCUUGCUCGAGGGUUGGAGGGGGGACUGGAAUACUUGGUGUAGCAGUGAAAUGCGUAGAUAUCAAGUGGAACACCAGUGGCGAAGGCGAGUCCCUGGACAACUCCUGACACUGAGGCACGAAAGCUAGGGGAGCAAACAGG
RNAcentral lists this ribosomal RNA (253 nucleotides) under uncultured bacterium. RNAcentral describes it as "partial 16S ribosomal RNA". It matches the Rfam family "Bacterial small subunit ribosomal RNA", at positions 524 to 776 of the family's 1533-position model. The record is from RNAcentral.